AGUUUCGGCCAUACCACCUUAGGCACGCCCGAUCUCGUCUGAUCUCGGAAGCUAAGCAGGGUCGGGCCUGGUUAGUACUUGGAUGGGUGACCGCCUGGGAGUACCAGGUGCUGUAAGCA
Molecule: ribosomal RNA, 119 nt
Filed under: Gadus morhua (Atlantic cod)
Lineage: Eukaryota; Metazoa; Chordata; Actinopteri; Gadiformes; Gadidae
Source: RNAcentral